CUUUUGAGCAUCGCCGUCUACUC
This 23-nucleotide non-coding RNA is filed under the name Rattus norvegicus (Norway rat). The record is from RNAcentral. Lineage: Eukaryota; Metazoa; Chordata; Mammalia; Rodentia; Muridae.